Molecule: ribosomal RNA, 138 nt
Filed under: Triticum aestivum (bread wheat)
Lineage: Eukaryota; Viridiplantae; Streptophyta; Magnoliopsida; Poales; Poaceae
Description: partial small subunit ribosomal RNA
Source: RNAcentral
UUUACAGAAGAAUAGAGAGUUUUUUCUUUGAUGUUCACCAAAACAACUCUUCUUUAAUCUUUUUGUGGGUUACAUACUGAGAGUAGUUGGUAUUUGGAUAUUAUAUGUAUCAAUGAUCCAGUGAACCCUGUUAAUUAA